GCCAGUGUUGUGUAGUGGUUUGAGCACUGGACUAGGACUCUGGGAGACGAAGGUUCAAAUCCCUGCUCAGGCA
Molecule: non-coding RNA, 73 nt
Organism: Phrynosoma platyrhinos (Desert horned lizard)
Lineage: Eukaryota; Metazoa; Chordata; Lepidosauria; Squamata; Phrynosomatidae
Source: the annotation of a GenBank genome assembly